This is a long non-coding RNA of Lycium barbarum (goji berry), 1120 nucleotides long. RefSeq lists it as uncharacterized. The transcript has 3 exons. NCBI's taxonomy places the organism in Eukaryota, Viridiplantae, Streptophyta, Magnoliopsida, Solanales, Solanaceae. The record is from RefSeq and is a predicted model, not a curated record.
UUUCUCUCUCCGCCUUCUAAAUUCCUCUCUCUCUCUCUCUCUCUCCCCUGAUUUCUCAUUUGAGUUUUGAGAUUAGCUGUUCAAUUUCAGUUAAUUGAUUGUGCUGGAGAAGCUCUUCCAUUGUGAAAUUUUCCUCGUCUAACACUGAUUCAACGGUUCAACCUAUGGUUACAUGACAAAUACAUUUCAAUUUGAACAUCAAGUUUGAAUUUCAAAUAAAAUGUCAGAGUAAAUGAACAACUACUGUAGUUAAUGUAACAACUACAUUGCAGCACAAUAACAAGACAUCUCUGCCUCAAAAUAAAUGGCCAUAUAUUGAGAAGAAUAAUGUAACUUACCAUAUAAAUCACCAAAGAGGGAUAUGAAAAAUGAUGCGGCCUGCGAUUGCAAGCCUUUGAAGAGCAUCAACAUAUUGGAAAAUUGAAUAACGAGAGAGUUUGACAAGCAGGCGAUAAUUCCAGGGCCUCACUGCUAGGAACCAUCAACAAAUUCGGUAUUCAUCUACUAAGACCGACCAAGGCUACUGAUCAGCAGGCUAAGGAUUACCACAACUACACCAACUGGUGAUGCCAGAACCCAGAUAAGUGCUUUUCCAUGCUUUCCAUUCGAUUGCUCCAUACUAUCAUCUGCAAGUAUCCCUUCAAACAAAGAUAAAUGGAGUAAUAAAUUUCAGUAUCUCUUGUAGGGAGUUCAUUAUGUUAUUGACUGAGUUACAAAGGUUCUGCAAGAUUUUAAUGCAACAUUCUUUAUUCUCCUACCUCUAUUUUUUGGUGAUAUUUUUAAUGUGAUUGAUGCUAUAUAUCAGUCCCUUGUUCGGUAGAAAACUAAAUGCCUACCAAUUAGUUUCAAGAAUGUGACUGGGGGUCUAACCAGUCACUAUGCUUAUAAAUUCAUCUUAAAAAUUCAGACUACUUUAUAGUAAAGAAUUAGGAGUAGCUAUAAUUUGUUAGUUCCUUGUUACAUUGAGAGCAGACCGAAGUUUGCAGUUAAUAGUGCUACAUGGUUUACAAGCAUAGGCACAACACUUCAGGUCUUCUUUCUUCAAAAUGGCUGCAACCGUAAAUUCUUUUACUAUCUUCAGGCUUCAGGUAAUUCACUAAAAAUUAUUAAAUAGCAAAAA